GGAAAAAAAAAAAAAAAAGGAGGAAAAAAGGAGGAAAAAAAAAAAAACAAAAAAAAAAAAGGAAAACCUUCACUACACGAACCGUCGAGCAGUAUUCAGAGCGAGUAUUUGUCGUGAACUGUAGAAUAUAUCAACUGCUAACACUAUUCUUGUGUUCUGGUUGUACAGCUUCAAACGUCCGUCUCUUAAUUUAGGGGGCAGCGCCUUGCAGCACCCCCCCACCCCCCCCCGCCCUGAGGAGGAAUAUUAACCCCAAAGGAGCUGGUCCUCACUGCGUGGAGCCGGAGGAGCUGCCCGUCCCGGUCAGGCAAGGGUUGUGGCACAGGGGGGGGCGGGGGGCACGCGCUGCCCCUGGCGAUGGCUUUGCUUUUUGUCUUUCAGACGUACAUAUGCAUAUACAGUCCUGUUUUAGAUGUUCUUCUAAGGAAACCGGUUUUUAAUGUGCCAAGUUGUAUAUAUCUUGCUGCGUGGAUGUAAAGCAAUACGAUCCUGGUCUGCUGGGUGAGCUCAGCCCCCGGGCACGAUUGGGCAGCGUCGGUAGGGACUGAGAGCUGGGGAGCGCAGGUUGGUACACGGAGCACGGCAGCCCCCAGCACCACGCGUCUCAGCACAGGGCUUAGGGCAGAGAUGUCACACGCACCCAAAGCAAUGCCCCCCUCCACCCCCCAUCACCAAACGAAUCCUCAGAGGGGCUGGGAGCACCGGCCUCAUGCUCCCUGAACGAGCAGCAGAGCGAUGGGGAUGGGUGAUGCCGCGUCCCUUCCGCCCCGCUCCUCCCAGGGCCGUGCUCUCAAAUCCUCCCCUCGGGUUCCAGCUUCCUCUGGUUCCGAAGUAAUUUCUGGCAACCCAUGGGGUUUUCUGCCGAUGUGGUAGCACGUCGAGGACCCGUUUUGAUGGAAAUCAGUUUUUCUUUCCCUUUCCUGGCCUGUGGCAUCAUGAAAAUGCCACGCUGGUCCCGUACCCUUGCAUGGUCUCUUUUUAAAGUAGAGGUUCCGUGCCACGGAUCGUAGUGCUUUAAAAAAAAAUAGUAACUGAAAAAGUACCUGGAUUAAUUUCCUGCUGGUCUGACCUCAUUUCAAAGUCCAGAGGCAGUCGUGGCAUUCAAUCAAACCUACUUAGGGCAAUCCAGAUAACAUUCCAAUUAAGAUCGAGCAUCCCUUGUCUAAGAGCAAAAACGCCAGAGAGAGAAAUGAAAAUGAGAACAGAAUGAAAAAAAAAAAAAAAAAAA
Molecule: long non-coding RNA, 1228 nt
Organism: Numida meleagris (helmeted guineafowl)
Lineage: Eukaryota; Metazoa; Chordata; Aves; Galliformes; Numididae
Exons: 2
Source: RefSeq, a predicted model, not a curated record